AAUGGCAGGUCAGCAUACUGCCGUGAAUACGUUCCCGGGCCUUGUACACACCGCCCGUCACACCAUGAGAGUUGGAGAUACCCGAAGCCUGUGAGCUAACAAACGAGGCAGCAGUCGAAGGUAGAAUCAAUGAUUGGGGUGAAGUCGUAACAAGGUAAC
RNAcentral lists this ribosomal RNA (159 nucleotides) under uncultured bacterium. RNAcentral describes it as "partial 16S ribosomal RNA". It matches the Rfam family "Bacterial small subunit ribosomal RNA", at positions 1340 to 1500 of the family's 1533-position model. The record is from RNAcentral.